GGCCUGCACUUUUUUGUGUGAAUAAACAAAGUUCUCUGAAUAUCAAAACUUGUAAUGAAUCUGAAAGGUCGUACCGGCAAAGGAAAGUAAGGAGUCACAUGACUGAGUAGAGAGUCCCCAAAGAAAUUCCUGCUCACGUCGGUCCCCGCAGAGCCCGACGCCAAGGAAACCCAGCUCCCUGUCUGCCCCCCGGUCUAGCUGUCACCCUGCCCCUUCUCUGGCUGGCUGGUUCCAGACGUCUUCAGGCUCAUCCGUGCACUGGAGGGACCCAGCCCAACCUCCAGGUCCACCCAGGUCACCGCAUGGCACCGCCACCAACGUUCCCAGCGGCGCACGCACAGCAGCCAGGACGCGGAUGCGGCCCCAAGGCCCGUCAACAGACGACCAGAUAAAGCAGUUCAUUCACACGACGGAACACCACCCCCCCAACACCUUCCACGUGACCGUCUCAGGCCGCUCUUCCGCAUAUACACCACCACGUCGGGUGGCCUUAAAUCUCCUUCGCCCCUACAUGUGACUUAAGAAAAGCGUGAGACGUGUGACAGUCUGUUGCAGCCACCAUCACUGCACCCACCCUCAUGUCCUGUUCUCUUCCUGCAAUCUCAGGCCUUCUGUCAUAACGUCCCGUUCAGAGAACUUCCGUUGUCGCUGACGACAAAGCCUUAGUCACCCGUCUGAGAACUGACUUACUUUCCCUUCAUUCCUGAACACACCUGGGCCUCACCUGGACUCUGCUGGUGGUGUUUCCCCUCCUUCAGCACGUGAAGAACGUGGUUCCUCUUCUCUCCGGGCUCUAGCUUUUCAGAGCAGAGAGCUGUGUCUUAGAAACAGGUGCCCCCACAGCAGAGGUACCCUUUCUCUCUGGCUGCCAACUACACUGCCCCUUUGCCUUUCCUGUUGGGUGGCUAAUUACAAUGCGGUUUGGUGUGAUGUUUCUGGUUUAUCCUACUUGGGGGACACGCAGUACUUUCAGAGUCUGUAGGCUUAUGUCGUUCACCAAAUAGGGGGGUUUUUCUAGUCAUCUGUUUGAAGACUUCCUCAGUCUCUCUCUGUGUCUCUCUGACCACCACUCUGAUGGCACGAAUGUGAGCUCUUUUGUUUUUGCUCCAUGGGCCCCCAAGACUCUGCUGACAAUGUAAAAUUUAUCAGAAACCUGUGAUCCUGGAAAACAGUGGAAAGUUAAAAAAUUCCUCAAACUUUUUGUCCUUGAAAAUAGCUUACAGCAAAGAAACACCCCUCCUUACACGAUCUAGGUAAGACUCACCUAAGCUGUUUGCUUAUGUCCAGGUCUGAUCCAGACAAUCCAGACUCCUGUUCUCUGUCUCAGAAACGAUUAGCUGACCCCCCUGCUCCCUCUGAUCAGUCAGAACAAAAUGCACGUUAGCCAAACGCUGGUCUCUCCUUUUACCAAGUCCCCAUGACACAGCCCGCGUCCACCUGAGCCAGCAGACAGCCCCUCCGGAGAGCAGGCUGGCCUCGGUGAGAUGUUCUCUGAUGCACGAUUCCAUCAGAGCCUCUCCUGUUCGUCCCACAUCCCCACACGGGUUAUUUCUAGCCUGGUUCCCUGCUCCACGAAGAAGACCACCACACUGGCCUCAUCUCUGAGAUGCUCAAUCUCACGCUCAGAGCUUUCGCCCUCUGGCAAGGGCCUCUUUCCCCACUUGCAAUAAAUACCCCUUCCCAACAAAGUCUUCCUUUACUAGGCCCAGAUCUGUCUUUAACUCGACAAUGUUACUCGCACUGUGUGAAUUCUGUUCGUCCAGCCCAAAUUCCCUGAUCCUGUCAUCUGUUAUCUUGACUCUCCUGGUAAGUACACCCAGGAAUGUAUUUCAUUUCAGUUAUUGUCAUGUUCAGUCCUGUAAUUC
Molecule: long non-coding RNA, 1865 nt
Filed under: Camelus dromedarius (Arabian camel)
Lineage: Eukaryota; Metazoa; Chordata; Mammalia; Artiodactyla; Camelidae
Description: lncRNA (ENSCDRG00005021371.1)
Source: RNAcentral